This 148-nucleotide non-coding RNA is filed under the name Pan troglodytes (chimpanzee). Lineage: Eukaryota; Metazoa; Chordata; Mammalia; Primates; Hominidae. The record is from Rfam by way of RNAcentral.
GCUGGGCAUGGUGGUGCAUGCCCAUAGUCCCAGCUACUUGGGGGGCUGAGGUGGGAGGAUCACUUGAGCCCAGGAGGUUGAGGCUGUAGUGAGCUGAGAUCGUGCCACUGCACUCCAGCCUGGGUGACAAAGUGAGACCCUGUCUCAA